CUGGCGGGCAACUCACAACCCCUGGGCUGGGGGACUGAAGCUUUCUUGUCUGUGGGAUGCUCUUGCUGCAUUUUCCCACACCCAGGGAAAGGCAGAGAGCUAGAGAGGAGAAGCCAAAGUUAAGACUGUUGGAAGUAGCUUCAGUCAGGGCUGUGCAGAACAUGACCUCCCCUAAAAGUCAGUAUUUGCCAGCCAAUAACACAUAGUUUUCUAAUUGCCUCAGUCUCCUUAACUGCAUUUUAGAUCAGAGACCCCAAAAUCUUCAGCACAGGAGAAAGAGCUGCAGGGAGAGAAUGAAGCAGGGCACAUCCAUAGCACUAAUUUGCUGCCUGGUGUGUCCCAGUGGUGUCAGUGCCUCAGAGAAGUAUCUCAGCUACUUCUGCCCUCUGAACACUUGUGUGGAAAUGACCAGGAAACAAAGGGCCCAGCUGCUCCUGGAAGAGGAGAAGACUAUUGGUGUUGCUUGAAUGGAGAGGCUGAGGACAGUGCCUGACUGUCUAAAUUCACAUCCUGGGAAAGCAGUUGGAGAUUGAUUCUGGUUUGGUCACCCAGUGAUGAGCUAAUUUUUAACACCAACCAUUGUGCCCGGUCCUCAGCCAGCGUGCGAGCGAGCAAAUCACCCCAGCAGCAUGGAUCGUUCUUCUGCACCCAUUGUUAUGGAAAUCGCCUUAGAGACUGUUGCUCCAGCAAACAUUUUUAGAAGCACGAGUGAGUUGCGCAACAGGAAAACUACUCGGAGCCUAAAAAAAGUACCAUUUCUGGCACACUGGCCCUGCUGCUGAAGAGCCCUUCCUCUUGCACCUCCUUCACCUGCUGGGAUUAAAAGCUACAGGUGACGCGUCUGGAGCCUGUCCCAAAACUUACGCGGUUGCUGAUGCGACCGCAGAACGGAGGUGAAACAUUUCUCUUCUGGUUUCAUGGGACCACACGCCAGCGGCUACACCUGCCUCCCUCGAGCCACCAAAAAGGAUCCCCGUAAGAUUUCUGGGCUGUUUUCAGCAGAACAGGGACUUUAGACCCAGAUUUUGGUUCUUUGCACAAGCUGCUGCUGUUCCCCUUGUGAUCUGAAGGUGCUUCGAUAAACAUUAUGAAAGGUCAGCUAUUUUCACUGUGCCUGUGGCUUGCAUAAGAACCUCAACAUCCUCUGCUGCAAAGAGCAGCGUUAGGAACUUCCUACUGCCACACUGAAUCACAAUAGCUUCCCACAGCAACCAGUGGUAAAAAUAAACUGGGCAAGGGGAAGUGGACAGCUUCUGCUGUUCCGCUUUCUUGGGCACACUUGAGUCACAAAAAAAGCGAUGUAGAACAAGACAUUUAUUUUGCUGAUGCCAAUGAAAUCCAUGAAUGGUUCAGAGCACGGUCCCACUGAAAUCAUGGAGUGUUUUGCAAUGAGAUUCUCACUGUGCUCUAAGUUAAGCAUGUGCUCAAAUGCUGUCUUAAGUUGGUAUUUUCAUUAGGAUCCAGCCUUAGGAAUUAGACUAAAAAGAGGCAGGGACUCCUGCACGUCUGAGUGCUGCUUUUGUACUAGAAGCACAGGAAUGCAGCCCUCUUGGCAUAUUUCAUGUGUUAAGGGUAUAUAAAAGACCACUGGGGAGACAGUGGCUCUGAAAUGGUUUCAGUAGUAAUUUCAGCUUAGAGAAAAGCAGAUUUUGACCGGAAGAAAAGUGUCUUCAGAUACAAAUCAAUUUGAAGUUUUGCCUAGAGACAAUGCCAUUUGAACAGCAUAGUUGUCAACAUUACAACUAAGACUCUGUGUAUGCACGUGUUUGUUUGCGUGUGGGGGAGUGUUUUAAGAGCAAUAUCUUUCCUGUUACACAAGGUUCAGCCCAGUUCUUGAAAUUCAGCCAGCUGGGGAAAAAACCUGAGGAGACCUAGUCAGAUAGCUGAGCCUGGGAAUCUUCUGGUGAAACAGAUCCUGCCUCUUCCCUCCAAACAGUGGGUGCUGACAAAGUUUGUAUUAAGAGGCUAAAGAGAUGAGAAAUUAGGGAGAAAAAAAAAAUAAAAAUAAAUGGUUCAUCUGUCCCAGACUGGGGAGAAGGAAUGGUUUCCACUCAUGUUCACAGGAAUUUUGAGAGCAAGGGCUUGUAGGAUAACCCAGGGGAGAGGAGGCCACAGGAGAGCUCCAGUCAAACCUCUGGCUGAAAGCUGGGUCAGCUCUGGGGUCAGGCCAGGUUACCUGGGGGUGCGUUGAGUUUGAUCUUGAAAACCAGAGAGGAUGAAGAUUGCACAACCUCUCUGAGCAAUCCACCAAUGUUUGACUGCCUGCAUGGUGAAAAUAGACUGCAGUAGAAGUGGCUUAUACAGAACCACGUUUUUAAUGUCAUCCCGCUCAUUAAAAAGAGAAAGAUCAAAUCUAUUUUGUAACAGGAACAGUUUGUGUGAGGCACGGAAAACUUCUGGUACCAGAGGACUGAUUCACAUAAGAAGGAAUGUAAAAGAUGGAAGGAAACCAAAGGGUGCCUCUAGUUACAUUCAUAUCUUGAAAUGUUAGUGUUGCAGCACAAAAGGUUUGUUUUUAUAGUAGUCGAUACCAACAGGGAAGAUACUCCAAAAAUAAACAAGGAUGCACGGAUAAAAAACAUCUAUGCUGUAGCUCAUUCUGAGAACGAAACGGAACGCGGAGGCUUAAUGAGUCGCAGUCGAUUUUAUUUUGGAACUGCGAGUUCCUGUCAAAGACCAAACAGGGCUGGGCACGACCCAGUCCAAACCCACGCGGGCCUCCACACGCGUGGGCCGGGUCAC
Oenanthe melanoleuca is the source of this 2742-nucleotide long non-coding RNA. RefSeq lists it as uncharacterized. Lineage: Eukaryota; Metazoa; Chordata; Aves; Passeriformes; Muscicapidae. The transcript has 4 exons. The record is from RefSeq and is a predicted model, not a curated record.